Heterocephalus glaber (naked mole-rat) is the source of this 1583-nucleotide non-coding RNA. The record is from RefSeq and is a predicted model, not a curated record. Lineage: Eukaryota; Metazoa; Chordata; Mammalia; Rodentia; Bathyergidae.
CCGAGUCCCCGCCCCUCUGCUCCUCCCAGCGCGCGGGCCGCGAGCGGCAGAAAGUUCCGCGCGCAGCGGUGUGCCCACUGGGCCUAGGCUGGACGCAGAGGCCUGGCUUUGCCAGGCCGCUCCCUUUUGGUCCCCCUUUUUCCCCCUUUUUUCUGUUGUUGUAUGGGUGAAUUACAGAGCUAGAACGCUGCCCCUUGCAGUCCCAGGAUGUCCUUGGCAAAAAUCCCCUGAUGGAAACACAAGACGAAUAAUAGUUAUUGGAAGACAGUGGUUUUCACCGCGCCUCCUCCGCCAGAAGUUACAAACCCAGGAACUAUCUCCUCCGUCUUCGUUUUUGUUCGUGUGAAUGCUGCCUCAUUUCCAAUUAAAAUGCACGCACCUCUAGUUUUGAUAUUGUGCGGUUUAAACAUGAUUAUCAACUUGAGCAGAGUAAGAGACACCCAGAGGUGACAGGAUUGUGACGGCGCCAACCUCAUGCAGAGUACACAGCUUCAAGCUACUGUAUAACAUCCUGACACAGGACAUGUGCUCAGUACCAGCUGAAUAUAGGAGUAAGUGAAAGGCUCCCCAGAACUAGACUUGGGCCAGUGAUCAGGUGGAGCACUUCACGUGUGGCCAGUUCACGGUGACAGUCACAGCCAGCUAUUUCCAAGAGCACUGUUGUGCUCCCAUGGAGGGGGCAGCAGAGGGCACUUUGGUUCCAGGGCUGCCUCAAGAACACUAGUCACCUGCUUGCUGGUAACAAGAAACCAGGAGUGGUGAGAAUCAAGACUGGCUAGCCUGGAUACUGCUGGUGGCCAUGGAACUAGAGGGGGCCAUAAGCUCUCUGCUGCCCAGUACUCUCUAUGUGGCCUACAACCAGGCACCCUUUCCCAGCAAGGACCUGUACCACCUGGCCAUCACCAGGACUGAGGUGAGCACUGGCAAAGAUACGGCUUUAUGGCUGUAAUGCUUGAGAGAGAGGGAAAAAAAACCAGUGCUUAGGAGCUGUGUUUGUGAAGUCAGAGUAUGUGUGCACACGUGUGUGAAUAUGAAUUGGAAUGAGCUCUUUCCUUAUGUGUAAAAUAGGGCAGCACUGUGGCACUUCUGUCAUAAGGCAUAGCACAGCAUCUGGUACAGUGCCUAGCACACUGAACAUCCUCAAUAAGGUCUAGAUGCCAUUAUUACUUUAUACUCAGUUUGAAUUGUACGCACAUGAAUGUUGACCACUAGUAGAGAAAAUAAGUAAUAAAAAUGUAGGAUUUUAUGGCCUCCCUCUUCCUAGAAAAGAGCUAGGACCCUGUCUUAGUUACUUUUUUCAUUGCUGAGACAAAAUACCCAAUACUGAAAGUCAAAGAAGAAGGUGCUCAGCCCAUAGUUAGCUGGCUCUGAGGCAGGGUGUCAUAGCAGGGGGCAUCACAGAGGAGAAACAGUCCAUGGUGUGGCAAUCAGAAAGCAACAGGCAUCAAGCAGCAGCAGCCUGCCUGCCUUUCCUUUUUAUCCCAUCCAGGGUGGGUAUCAGCCUUUUGGGUGGUGCCACUCAGAACUACACUAAUUCUAAUCAGUGAACUAAUUUAGUACCACACACCCUUAAUCCCAGUAUC